Molecule: ribosomal RNA, 497 nt
Filed under: uncultured bacterium
Lineage: Bacteria
Description: partial 16S ribosomal RNA
Rfam family: Bacterial small subunit ribosomal RNA
Source: RNAcentral
GAUGAACGCUGGCGGCGUGCCUAAUGCAUGCAAGUCGAGCGAACGGACGAGAAGCUUGCUUCUCUGAUGUUAGCGGCGGACGGGUGAGUAACACGUGGAUAACCUACCUAUAAGACUGGGAUAACUUCGGGAAACCGGAGCUAAUACCGGAUAAUAUUUUGAACCGCAUGGUUCAAAAGUGAAAGACGGUCUUGCUGUCACUUAUAGAUGGAUCCGCGCUGCAUUAGCUAGUUGGUAAGGUAACGGCUUACCAAGGCAACGAUGCAUAGCCGACCUGAGAGGGUGAUCGGCCACACUGGAACUGAGACACGGUCCAGACUCCUACGGGAGGCAGCAGUAGGGAAUCUUCCGCAAUGGGCGAAAGCCUGACAGAGCAACGCCGCGUGAGUGAUGAAGGUCUUCGGAUCGUAAAACUCUGUUAUUAGGGAAGAACAUAUGUGUAAGUAACUGUGCACAUCUUGACGGUACCUAAUCAGAAAGCCACGGCUAACUACGUG